This 72-nucleotide transfer RNA is filed under the name Pteropus alecto (black flying fox). It matches the Rfam family "tRNA". Rfam says of the family: Transfer RNA (tRNA) molecules are approximately 80 nucleotides in length. The record is from Rfam by way of RNAcentral. Lineage: Eukaryota; Metazoa; Chordata; Mammalia; Chiroptera; Pteropodidae. RNAcentral also lists the same sequence under 1 other name.
GGUUCUAUAGAGUAGUGGUUAGCACAUCUGCUUUACAUGCAGAAGGUCCUGGGUUCCCGCCCCAGUGGAUCA